GACGAACGCUGGCGGCGUGCUUAACACAUGCAAGUCGUACGGUAAGGCCCUUUCGGGGGUACACGAGUGGCGAACGGGUGAGUAACACGUGAGUAACCUGCCCACAACUUUGGGAUAACGCUAGGAAACUGGUACUAAUACUGGAUAUGUGCUCCUGCUGCAUGGUGGGGGUUGGAAAGCUCCGGCGGUUGUGGAUGGACUCGCGGCCUAUCAGCUUGUUGGUGGGGUAGUGGCCUACCAAGGCGGCGACGGGUAGCCGGCCUGAGAGGGUGACCGGCCACAGUGGGACUGAGAUACGGCCCAGACUCCUACGGGAGGCAGCAGUGGGGAAUAUUGCACAAUGGGCGCAAGCCUGAUGCAGCAACGCCGCGGGCGGGAUGACGGCCUUCGGGUUGUAAACCGCGUUCAGCAGGGACGAAGCUUUUUGUGACGGUACCUGCAGAAGAAGCACCGGCUAACUACGUG
This 465-nucleotide ribosomal RNA is filed under the name uncultured bacterium. RNAcentral describes it as "partial 16S ribosomal RNA". It matches the Rfam family "Bacterial small subunit ribosomal RNA", at positions 28 to 507 of the family's 1533-position model. The record is from RNAcentral.